RNAcentral lists this transfer RNA (48 nucleotides) under Pseudoalteromonas amylolytica. RNAcentral describes it as "tRNA-Asp". The record is from RNAcentral. Lineage: Bacteria; Pseudomonadati; Pseudomonadota; Gammaproteobacteria; Alteromonadales; Pseudoalteromonadaceae.
GUGGUAGUUCAGUUGGUUAGAAUACCGGCCUGUCACGCCGGGGGUCGC